RNAcentral lists this unclassified non-coding RNA (267 nucleotides) under Hevea brasiliensis (rubber tree). The record is from RNAcentral. Lineage: Eukaryota; Viridiplantae; Streptophyta; Magnoliopsida; Malpighiales; Euphorbiaceae.
GUGAAGAGAAUGAGAUGUUUGAUGCUGAAGCACUGGCUAUGCUGUUGAGGGCUGCUACCGGUGUUGGGCCUGAAGGUAGAAGUGUUUCAAUUCCAUCAGCUGAUGGUACACAGGUUUCUUCUCUGGAGCUUCCUGAUACCCCGGGAUCCUCAUUUCACUCGUCCAGACCUGGUCAGCCAACAAAUGCAGAUAAGUUUCCCCUAUCUGAUAAUAAGACUGAAGGUAUAUCAGAAGUGAUUUUGUCUGAAGAAGAAAAGAAGAAGCUUG